This 377-nucleotide ribosomal RNA is filed under the name uncultured eukaryote. Its description in RNAcentral is "partial 18S ribosomal RNA". It matches the Rfam family "Eukaryotic small subunit ribosomal RNA", at positions 592 to 976 of the family's 1831-position model. The record is from RNAcentral.
CAAUAGCGUAUAUUAAAGUUGUUGCAGUUAAAAAGCUCGUAGUUGGAUUUCGGGGCAGCCUGGCUGGUCCGCCGCAAGGCGAGUACUGGUCAGCCGCCCUUCCUCUCGAAAGCCCCGACUGCUCUUUAUUGCAGUGGUCGGGUAGUUCGGGACGUUUACUUUGAAAAAAUUAGAGUGUUCAAGGCAGGCCUACGCCUGAAUGCAUUAGCAUGGAAUAAUGGAAGAGGACCUCGGUCCUAUUUUGUUGGUUUCCAGGACCGAAGUAAUGAUUAAGAGGGACAGUUGGGGGCAUUCGUAUUUAAUUGUCAGAGGUGAAAUUCUCGGAUUUAUGAAAGACGAACAACUGCGAAAGCAUUUGCCAAGGAUGUUUUCAUUAA